UGGGGAAUAUUGGACAAUGGGCGAAAGCCUGAUCCAGCAAUGCCGCGUGAGUGAAGAAGGCCUUCGGGUUGUAAAGCUCUUUUGCCCGGGAAGAUAAUGACUGUACCGGGAGAAUAAGCCCCGGCUAACUCCGUGCCAGCAGCCGCGGUAAUACGGAGGGGGCUAGCGUUGUUCGGAAUUACUGGGCGUAAAGCGCACGUAGGCGGUUUCUCAAGUCAGAGGUGAAAGCCCAGGGCUCAACCCUGGAAUUGCCUUUGAGACUGGGAGACUUGAACACGGGAGAGGUGAGUGGAAUUCCGAGUGUAGAGGUGAAAUUCGUAGAUAUUCGGAAGAACACCAGUGGCGAAGGCGGCUCACUGGACCGUUGUUGACGCUGAGGUGCGAAAGCGUGGGGAGCAAACAGG
RNAcentral lists this ribosomal RNA (404 nucleotides) under uncultured bacterium. RNAcentral's name for it is "bacterial SSU rRNA". It matches the Rfam family "Bacterial small subunit ribosomal RNA", at positions 355 to 776 of the family's 1533-position model. The record is from RNAcentral.